UUCUUUUAUGAAUACCUUCCUUUAUUAUCUCGUUUUUCUCUCUAAACUCAAUUUGCUCUGUACAACCUUCACUUCCCAUCUCUUCAAUCCUCUCUAAACCCCUCGUCUUCCCCCAAUUCUAUUUAUUACCCUCCUUUCUCUCUCUUUCUCUUCACCGCCUCCUCUUUUUUCUUCUCUAUUCUUCUCUCUCUCCCCCUUCUCUCAUUAUUAACAGAACACGCUCAAUGGCAUCCAAAAUCACCGACUCAAAGAACACCUCGGAUCUCUUUGGAUGUUAACACGCUGUCUUGCUCCAAAAAGAGACCUCUUUCUCCAUCAAAACGGGUGUAAAGAAAUAGUUGUCCACUCCUUCCGGAUCUCUGAUUGGUGUCGACAUGCAAAACUUUUGGGGAGUUGAACAGAAGAUCAAAGUUUGAAGUUUUUCAGAGCACACCCAUCGUCCCCGGACGAGUCAUCAAGCUAUGUCAACUGAAGGAUUCUCACUGCUCUGUAGGUGCUCUAGUCAGGGGGAGAUUACAUGCUACUUCAACGAUCUAUAGACAUGCAAAUUGACAAGGGGAGCUUCAGGGAAGUUUUAGUCCUUCUAUCGAAUGUUAUUUAUGGGCAACUUUUUGUCAUUAUCAAAAAGGGGGAGAGUGUUAGCCUCCUACACACUACAAGUAUUUUGAUGAUUAAAAAUAAGUUAAAAUGUUGUUUGCAGAACUCAUGAGCAGAGCAACAUCAUUACAAUUAGAGUCUACAACAAUUCCUUCAUCCAAGCCAAUCAAAGAUCUCACGAAAUUAUCUAAAUCCCCAAGAUUCAAGGAAGACAGCAAUGUCAUAUCUCAAACUCCUACGAAUCAACAAAUCACUACAAAUCAAGGAAAUCAACAAAUUAAUCUAUCAAGACAAGUAUCAAGAACUCAAUAGGCUCCAAAAUCUUAUUGGAGACGCCUCAUCUAGAAAGGAAGGAUAUCAUGAACAUAUAUGAUAUGGACAUGAUUACAUUCCUAUCCUAAUCUGACUCAAUCAAGGAAUCCCUACAAAUCCUUGAUUGAAUGAUAAUCUCUUGGAUUAUUCUUUUAAAAGAUCAGAACUCUACACCUAUUUAAACAAGAGAGAAGUAAGUCACUCAGAAAAUAAUGCAACUUCACUUGACCUCAACAAACAACUUUCUUUUGUCUUUAAUAUAUCCUUGUAAAGUCGUGAGUGUUAUAAUUGAAAAGAAGAGAAGAAGAAAGAAUAUGAGUGUAGGAAUAUAAGCAGAGGCAGUGUCAAAGUAGAAAUCUGAUUUGCACAUCAGACAAGAUCAGUUUCAAAUCGUUGUAACCAAACGAUCUUCUCAACACUCUUAAGGAAAACCCUUUAAACCCAAGGGGACUUGACUAGGCACCACAACGGUGAUCCAAAGCAGGAUAAAUUUCAUUGUGUCCUUUAUUUA
Molecule: long non-coding RNA, 1420 nt
Organism: Solanum pennellii
Lineage: Eukaryota; Viridiplantae; Streptophyta; Magnoliopsida; Solanales; Solanaceae
Exons: 2
Source: RefSeq, a predicted model, not a curated record